Molecule: long non-coding RNA, 1444 nt
Filed under: Chrysemys picta bellii (western painted turtle)
Lineage: Eukaryota; Metazoa; Chordata; Testudines; Emydidae
Description: lncRNA (ENSCPBG00000024534.1)
Source: RNAcentral
UGAGCCACAGCUAUUGGGAGCAGUUUAUUAUCUGAGAAUCUCAGCUUUCAUUUAAAAAAAUAUAUCUUUCUAGUGUUUAUGGUUGCACAGAAAACCUUGAGAACCCGGACUCUAAAUGUUCCAACACCAGAAGGCAAAUUUUGUAUUUUUAUAAUGUCAGAAUUUUAACCCAAUCUCACAAUUUUGGGGGGCCUGCUCUGUGAUUUUUGAAUGCAUGGGGUUACAAGCUGCAUCGCACCUUUUGCUAAAGCUCUCUAUUCCCCAUUUAACCUUAUCCCAGUCCUGUCCUUAUUCUUGUCCUUCUCUGGCCUUCUCAUGGGCUUUCUCUCUCUCUCUCCUUUCACAGGGUUUGAUCCUGCAGCACUCUACUCCAGCAAAACUCCCAGUGAGCUCAGCUCUUUCGAUCUGGAACACUUCUGCUUCUAGAUGAGCCAGCAGAACUCGAGUCGUUGGAGGAUCACAGCAGCACUGUUUUUACUGUGGGAUUCAGUUCUAUGGAAUUGUCACUGGUACACAAGGAAUUGCAUCUCAAGCACUUGAAAGUGAAAGCAACCAGCUGUGAAACCGCAAGCAUAAGUCUUGAAGUCACAAUGACCCCUUCUGGGACAGCUCUGAAUCCAAAGAAUUCCUGCAGGAACGGGUUCACUGACGGUUCACAGUAUAGCUGCCAAGACGAGAUUCAUCACAUCUUUUACAAGAAACUCAGGGUAUGUCUACAAUGGAGCUGGGCGCUUAAUUUCCAGCUUAGAUUUCACUACCACGCGCACUAGCUUAAACUGCACUAGCGCGCUAAAAAUAGCUGCUUAGCUGUGGCAUGGGCGGCCAGCUACCCAAGUGCUUAUCUAGAGCCUCAGAUGGGAUUGUGCUUUAGUGGCUAGCCUGUCCUGCCACCUGUGUUGCCAUGGCUAUCCUGCUAUUUUUAGCACGCUAGCUCAAGCAAAGCUAGCAUGCAUACAUCUACUCGAGCUGAAAAUUACUCCUCCUGCUGUACGUAGAUAUACCCCCAAACCCCCAUGUGCCUAAAAGUCACUUUUCAAAAUGGAACCUAGGCUCCUACGUCACUUAGAUGUAUUUCAAAAUUUUACCCCAUGUUUUUCUACACGUUUGCAUGGCAUUUAGCACAAUGGUAGUGAAAAAGAACUUAAAUAUACACACUAUAGGAUGAAUCUGUUGUACACCCAGAACUAAAUUUCUCCUUUUCACAACUACCUGUACGAUAUAUACUUAGAGCUAAUUAGCAAUAUUUUGCUCAACCCACAUUUUCUGAAAUGCAAGAUGCACUGGAAUUGCAUUUUCCUGUGGCUGUUUUGGUGAGUUGGGUGUUUAAGCAAAUAAUGAGAUAUCUGAUCACACACUAUGUGCGUGUCUGAACAACAGUAUGAGGACAUAGACAUGUUGGUAUGUGCACUGAGUUCUCUGUUGCUGACCAAGCUGUAAGGGAUUU